This 2742-nucleotide ribosomal RNA is filed under the name Alphaproteobacteria bacterium. RNAcentral's name for it is "23S ribosomal RNA". It matches the Rfam family "Bacterial large subunit ribosomal RNA". Lineage: Bacteria; Pseudomonadati; Pseudomonadota; Alphaproteobacteria. The record is from RNAcentral.
AGAUAAGAACGAGAAGGGCAUUUGGUGGAUGCCUUGGCUCCAAGAGGCGAUGAAGGACGUGACAGGCUGCGAAAAGCUGUGGUUAGCUGCCAAUACGCUAUGACCCACAGAUAUCCGAAUGGGGAAACCCACCACGUACGUGGUAUCUGCACCUGAAUACAUAGGGUGUAGAGGCAAACCCGGGGAACUGAAAUAUCUAAGUACCCGGAGGAAAGGACAUCAAACGAGACUCCGCAAGUAGUGACGAGCGAACGCGGAUCAGGCCAGUGGCUUUUUUAAUUGUGACCGGAAUAAAAUGGAAAGUUUAACCAUAGUGGGUGAUAGUCCCGUACGGGAAGCAAUUUUAAGAGUCCAUGAGUAGGGCGGGGCCCGAGAAACCCUGUUCGAAUAUGGGAGGACCACCUUCCAAGCCUAAGUACUCCUUGGAGACCGAUAGUGAACAAGUACCGUGAGGGAAAGGUGAAAAGAACCCCGACAAGGGGAGUGAAAUAGACACUGAAACCGAAUGCCUACAAGCAGUAGGAGCACCUAUAUGGUGUGACUGCGUACCUUUUGUAUAAUGGGUCAGCGACUUAGUGUUCGUAGCAAGCUUAAGCCGUUAGGUGUAGGCGUAGCGAAAGCGAGUCUUAAUAGGGCGAUAUAGUUACGGGCAUUAGACCCGAAACCGAGUGAUCUAGCCAUGAGCAGGUUGAAGGUACGGUAACACGUACUGGAGGACCGAACCCACGCAUGUUGCAAAAUGCGGGGAUGACUUGUGGCUAGGGGUGAAAGGCCAAUCAAACUCGGAUAUAGCUGGUUCUCCGCGAAAACUAUUUAGGUAGUGCGUCAUAUGAUUACCGCCGGGGGUAGAGCACUGGAUGGGCUAGGGGGGAGCGAUCCUUACCAAACCUAACCAAACUCCGAAUACCGGCGAGUACAGUAUGGCAGACAGUCCAUGGGUGCUAACGUCCAUGGACGAGAGGGAAACAACCCUGACCGCCGAUUAAGGUCCCAAAGUUAUCACUAAGUGGGAAAGGAUGUGGGAAGGCCAAGACAGCCAGGAGGUUGGCUUAGAAGCAGCCAUCCUUUAAAGAAAGCGUAAUAGCUCACUGGUCUAUUUAAGCUAGCCUGCGCCGAAAAUGUACCGGGGCUCAAGUGAUACACCGAAAUCGCGGAUAUCGUAAGAUAUGGUAGCGGAGCGUUCCGUAAGCCUGUGAAGGAUGAUCCGUGAGGACUUCCGGAGGUAUCGGAAGUGAGAAUGCUGACAUGAGUAGCGUUUAAGGCAUGUGAGAUUCAUGCCCGCCGAAAGUCCAAGGGUUCCUGCGCCAGGUAGAUCCACGCAGGGUGAGUCGGCCCCUAAGGCGAGGCCGAAAGGCGUAGUCGAUGGGAAUCAGGUUAAUAUUCCUGAACCUUCCAGUAGUGACGAAUCCCGUAUAUUGUAUACUCUUAUUGGAUUGAGUAUGCAGUGAAGGGGUUCCGGGAAAUAGCUCUGGAAAUAAGACCGUACCCCAAACCGACACUGGUGGACUGGUAGAGUAUACCAAGGCGAUUGAGAAAAUGAUGUUGAAGGAACUCGGCAAAAUGCCCCUGUAACUUCGGGAGAAAGGGGACCUCCGUUCGGGCAACCGAGCGGAGGUGGCACAGACCAGGGGGUGACGACUGUUUACCAAAAACACAGGACUCUGCAAAGUCGCAAGACGACGUAUAGGGUCUGACGCCUGCCCGGUGCCGGAAGGUUAAGAGGAGCUGUGAGAGCAGCGAAUUGAAGCCCCGGUAAACGGCGGCCGUAACUAUAACGGUCCUAAGGUAGCGAAAUUCCUUGUCGGGUAAGUUCCGACCUGCACGAAUGGCGUAACGAUUGCCCCGCUGUCUCCAACAUCAACUCAGCGAAAUUGAACUCUCCGUGAAGAUGCGGAGUACCCACGGUUAGACGGAAAGACCCCGUGCACCUUUACUACAGCUUUGCAGUGGUGCCAGGGAAUACAUGUGUAGGAUAGGUGGGAGUCUAUGAAAGAGCGGCGCUAGUUGCUCCGGAGACAUCCUUGAAAUACCACCCUUGUGUUCUUUGGCAUCUAACCGAGACCGGUUAUCCCGGUCCGGGACCCUGCAUGGUGGGUAGUUUGACUGGGGCGGUCGCCUCCUAAAUAGUAACGGAGGCGCACAAAGGUAGGCUCAAGUUGGUCGGAAAUCAACUGAUGAGCGCAAUGGUAUAAGCCUGCUUAACUGCGAGACUGACAGGUCGAGCAGAGACGAAAGUCGGUCAUAGUGAUCCGGUGGUUCCAUGUGGAAGGGCCAUCGCUCAACGGAUAAAAGGUACGCCGGGGAUAACAGGCUGAUCUCCCCCAAGAGUUCACAUCGACGGGGAGGUUUGGCACCUCGAUGUCGACUCAUCACAUCCUGGGGCUGAAGCAGGUCCCAAGGGUAUGGCUGUUCGCCAUUUAAAGUGGUACGUGAGUUGGGUUCAGAACGUCGUGAGACAGUUCGGCUCCUAUCUGCCGUGGGUGUAGGAAAAUUGAAAGGAUUUGUCCCUAGUACGAGAGGACCGGGAUGAACAUACCUCUGGUGUACCAGUUGUCGUGCCAACGGCACAGCUGGGUAGCUAAGUAUGGAAAAGAUAACCGCUGAAAGCAUCUAAGCGGGAAACUUGCCUUGAAACUAAUUUUCCCUAUGAGGGCCGAGGAAGACUACCUCGUUGAUAGGCAGGAUGUGGAAGUGUGGUAACACAUGAAGCUAACCUGUACUAAUUCCCCCAUUGACUUAUCU